This 378-nucleotide ribosomal RNA is filed under the name uncultured bacterium. RNAcentral's name for it is "bacterial SSU rRNA". It matches the Rfam family "Bacterial small subunit ribosomal RNA", at positions 523 to 898 of the family's 1533-position model. The record is from RNAcentral.
AUACGUAGGGGGCGAGCGUUGUCCGGAAUUACUGGGCGUAAAGGGUGCGUAGGCGGCUGAUUAAGUCAGAUGUGAAAUACCAGGGCUCAACCCUGGGGGUGCAUUUGAAACUGGCCAGCUUGAGCGCAGGAGAGGGAAGUGGAAUUCCUAGUGUAGCGGUGAAAUGCGUAGAGAUUAGGAGGAACACCAGUGGCGAAGGCGACUUCCUGGACUGUAACUGACGCUGAGGCACGAGAGCGUGGGGAGCAAACAGGAUUAGAUACCCUGGUAGUCCACGCCGUAAACGAUGGAUACUAGGUGUAGGGGGUUAUUUACACCUUCUGUGCCGGAGUUAACGCAAUAAGUAUCCCGCCUGGGGAGUACGGCUGCAAGGUUGAA